This 524-nucleotide ribosomal RNA is filed under the name uncultured bacterium. Its description in RNAcentral is "bacterial SSU rRNA". It matches the Rfam family "Bacterial small subunit ribosomal RNA", at positions 62 to 598 of the family's 1533-position model. The record is from RNAcentral.
ACGAACUUAACCAUUAGUUUACUAUUGGAGCGGUUAGUGGCGGACUGGUGAGUAACACGGUAAGCAACCUGCCUAUCAGAGGGGAACAACAGUUAGAAAUGACUGCUAAUACCGCAUAUGCCUUAGAAUCACAUGGUUCAAAAGGGAAAGGAGCAAUCCGCUGAUAGAUGGGCUUGCGUCUGAUUAGCUAGUUGGUGGGGUAAUGGCCUACCAAGGCAACGAUCAGUAGCCGAACUGAGAGGUUGAACGGCCACAUUGGGACUGAGAUACGGCCCAGACUCCUACGGGAGGCAGCAGUCGGGAAUAUUGCGCAAUGGAGGAAACUCUGACGCAGUGACGCCGCGUGCAGGAAGAAGGUUUUCGGAUUGUAAACUGCUUUAGACAGGGAAGAACAAAGACAGUACCUGUAGAAUAAGCUCCGGCUAACUACGUGCCAGCAGCCGCGGUAAUACGUAGGGAGCGAGCGUUAUCCGGAUUUAUUGGGUGUAAAGGGUGCGUAGACGGGAAGUCAAGUUAGUUGUGAA